GGAGCUUCCGCCGCCGUAGCCGCCGCCGAAACUUCCGCCGCCGCGUCCGCCGCCUCCGGAACUAAACGGGGUGAGGUCACAUUCGGUUAUCUCUAACGUUGGAAAACGAUGGAGCUAACACCCAUUAUGGAGAUUAACCACUUUUCAUCAGGUUUUUAACUUAAGUCGUGAGGAAUACAACGGUGAACACAAGAUUCAUUUUAUUUUCAUCACCAUGGGACGUAUCCUGUUGUUGAGUUCUCUGGGUCAGACCUCUGAAGACUUCUCAGAUGGAUCCUAGUCUCUGGGCUUGCCCUGAAAUUACUCGCUGCUCAGGGAGAGAGUUGAAAUGGUUGGCAUCCUCCCACUCUGUUGCUCCGGCUGUGUCCCCUCGCUCUGUUGUUCCAGCUAUGUGCCCUCUGUUGCUCCAACUGCAGCUCAUUCUGUUAGAGUUCCUCAUUCAGCUGGUCACUGUGGCCAGAGGGUGUUGGCCUGCUCCCUUCCUCAAGUAUUCUUAAAGCCAUGGAUUUUUGUGGAGCAUUUUUCUUCCUGGCUCUCCCUUGAGUUAUUUUCCUUUCUUCGCUAUCUUGGGACUCUUCUUUGUGCUUGCGGUCAUCGGUUGAGAGAAGGACUUCUUCUUCCUUGUCUCCUUGGUGUUGGCUCGUGGUUGCUCUUCAACAACUGGACUGGAGGCUCUUGGUUUUCUCUUCAUCUUCAACAAGUCAGUCUCUCUCAAGGGUCUCACGUUGCAGCAUUCUUACCAGAGGCCAUUGGGCCUGGAGUUCCAGUUCCAGUGUCUGGAGAGUCCACCUCAGCUCAGCAAUCUCAUGCCGGUUGGCAAUUGUCAGCAGAAGCCGAUGCCUGCCCAUCAGUUCUUUACUCUGAGGUGUUAGAGUGGAAUAAAAAUAUAAAUACUUAUACUAGUUUUCAUGACUUCUGCUUAAUAUUGGGUAUUUUUUUGUUUUGUUUUGUUUUGGCGGUGAUAGGCUUACCUUACAUUAAACCAGGCCUUAGCCUUUCUGUGGCUUUGUUAUGGCAAAGCCUCAUAUUACUCUCUAGUCUGGUUCAGCAGGACAGUCAGGUCCACACCUGGGGCUGUUUGUUUUCUACGUUUACCUCAACAUAAGGUACCUUAUCAUUGUCAGCCUUCAUCUCCUGAUCCAAAAUAAAAUAAAAUGCCACAGGUUACUUGAUUUUGCAUCUGGAAUAUGAUUAUUUAAAGAAAUUAAAAAUUUAAAACUGAAAAUGUAGAGUUUAGAAAUCUUUUUUAAGGUUUCAAAAAAAUUUCUAGGAGACAACAAAAUAGUGUUACUAGAUUUAGCAAAUAAAAUACAGAAUGCCAAUUAAAUUUGAAUUUCAAAUGAACAUUGAAUACUUUUUUUGGUAUAACUAUAUUCCAUGCAAUAUUUGGGACAUAUCUGUUAUAUUAUUCAUUGUUUACCUGAAAUUAUAAUUUAAACUGAGAGUUCUGUAUUUUAUCUGGCAACCUUAUUAUGAAAAUAUUUAGGAUCAAUAUAAAGGAAUAAUAUUUUUAAUUUUUACAAACUAUUUUAAUAUAAGUAAUUUAUUUGAUUUUCAUUGUCAUCCUGAGAGUUAAGUUUUGCCUUACAGUCUAUGUUACUUUACCUGUGUUUUAUGAAAAGACUGUCUCUUAUAAUGAUAGCCACCACCACCAUAUCUUGACAAGUAUUGACAUACUGAAACUUUAAAUUCAUUUUGUGUAGUUCCCGCCUCUUCAUGAUUGUUUCUGAGGUAAUUCAGCUUCUCCGUCUGGCUUUCCAUUUUCAACUCUAGGUUAGUCUUGUUCAAAGUCAACUCAUCUAAGACACUUCGCAGGCCCUUGCUAUCAGCCUCAACACAGUGAUAAAGGACAACUUUACUCUGGCAUCUGAACAGAGCCCAAUUGGAAGAAUCAAUACAGCUUAGAUGGAGGUCUCCUCAUCCAGUGGUAAUAAAACAUCCCACAUAGUGGAGCUUAGAGAGCACAGCACUGGGAUGUGAAGACAUGGGUUCAAAUUGCACCUCUGCCAUGUUCAGCUGUCACCUUGGGCAAAUUACUUCUCUGAACCUUAGUUUUCUCAUCAUUAAAAUGGGAAUAUUGGU
Homo sapiens (human) is the source of this 2082-nucleotide long non-coding RNA. Ensembl annotates it as KRT10 antisense RNA 1. Its record names the gene KRT10-AS1. Lineage: Eukaryota; Metazoa; Chordata; Mammalia; Primates; Hominidae. The record is from Ensembl.